Long non-coding RNA from Lagenorhynchus albirostris (white-beaked dolphin), 352 nucleotides. RefSeq lists it as uncharacterized. The transcript is spliced from 2 exons. The record is from RefSeq and is a predicted model, not a curated record. NCBI's taxonomy places the organism in Eukaryota, Metazoa, Chordata, Mammalia, Artiodactyla, Delphinidae.
GCCACGUCGGUGUCCGUGAGCGGGCGAUCGAGUUCGUGGGUCAAACCUCGAUGUCCGGGCUGCAUCGGCGCCCCCCAGCCAGAUUCCUGAUGGCCGGCGGCGGACAACGAAGGGGAUCUGCAGGAGGGAGGGGCGUGAUGCUGGCCCCGACUGCUGACGCCCAAGGACCGGCUGGGAUAGAGCAGCCCCAAGCCGCAACGGAGGAAAACAAAACGGUGUUUUCAGCAAGAUGAUCUUAUACUGAAGGACUUUGUUCGAAAAAUCAUGUACUUCCAACUUUUGGGGGGACAGGGAAUGUUAAAAUUUCCUUCUACUGUGUCCUUACUUGGCAAAUUAAAAAGUGACAGCCCAA